AAGAUUGAUGAACAUUAUUUAGGUGACACUCCAGAGAUGAAGUGUUCUCCAGGCUUCGUGACUGUGGUACUCUUAAUGCUUGGACAAACCCAUGGAGAUUCAGUGACCCAGAUGGAAGGCCCAGUGACCCUCUCAGAAGAGGAUUCCCUGACUAUAAACUGUACCUAUUCAAUAACAGGGUAUCCCACUCUUUUCUGGUAUGUCCAGUAUCCAGGAGAAGGUCCAGAGCUCCUCCUGAAAGCCUCGAGGGACAAGGAGACGAAACACAACAAAGGUUUUGAAGCCACCCUCGACAGCAAAUCCAAAUCCUUCCACCUGGAGAAGGGCUCAGUGCAAGCGUCAGAUUCAGCUGUUUACUACUGUGUCAUGAAUGACACAGUGACGGGGACUGCAGGGGGAGCUGAGCACAAACCCUGA
Non-coding RNA from Leptonychotes weddellii (Weddell seal), 417 nucleotides. NCBI's taxonomy places the organism in Eukaryota, Metazoa, Chordata, Mammalia, Carnivora, Phocidae. The record is from the annotation of a RefSeq genome assembly.